UAGGGAAUCUUCGGCAAUGGACGAAAGUCUGACCGAGCAACGCCGCGUGAGUGAAGAAGGUUUUCGGAUCGUAAAACUCUGUUGUUAGAGAAGAACAAGGACGUUAGUAACUGAACGUCCCCUGACGGUAUCUAACCAGAAAGCCACGGCUAACUACUUGCCAGCAGCCGCGGUAAUACGUAGGUGGCAAGCGUUGUCCGGAUUUAUUGGGCGUAAAGCGAGCGCAGGCGGUUUCUUAAUUCUGAUGUGAAAGCCCCCGGCUCAACCGGGGAGGGUCAUUGGAAACUGGGAGACUUGAGUGAAGAAGAGGAGAGUGGAAUUCCAUGUGUAGCGGUGAAAUGCGUAGAUAUAUGGAGGAACACCAGUGGCGAAGGCGGCUCUCUGGUCUGUAACUGACGCUGAGGCUCGAAAGCGUGGGGAGCAAACAGG
RNAcentral lists this ribosomal RNA (429 nucleotides) under Gemmatimonadota bacterium. RNAcentral describes it as "Gemmatimonadetes bacterium partial 16S ribosomal RNA". It matches the Rfam family "Bacterial small subunit ribosomal RNA", at positions 355 to 776 of the family's 1533-position model. Lineage: Bacteria; Pseudomonadati; Gemmatimonadota. The record is from RNAcentral.